UUGAAGAAGACGAAGAAGAAGAAGAAGAAUGU
RNAcentral lists this small RNA (32 nucleotides) under Arabidopsis thaliana (thale cress). RNAcentral's name for it is "ATSL244300". The record is from RNAcentral. Lineage: Eukaryota; Viridiplantae; Streptophyta; Magnoliopsida; Brassicales; Brassicaceae.